RNAcentral lists this ribosomal RNA (403 nucleotides) under uncultured bacterium. RNAcentral's name for it is "bacterial SSU rRNA". It matches the Rfam family "Bacterial small subunit ribosomal RNA", at positions 356 to 773 of the family's 1533-position model. The record is from RNAcentral.
GGGGAAUAUUGGGCAAUGGGGGAAACCCUGACCCAGCAACGCCGCGUGAAGGAAGAAGGCUUUCGGGUUGUAAACUUCUUUUACCAGGGACGAAAAAAAUGACGGUACCUGGAGAAAAAGCUCCGGCUAACUACGUGCCAGCAGCCGCGGUAAUACGUAGGGAGCAAGCGUUGUCCGGAUUUACUGGGUGUAAAGGGCGUGUAGGCGGAGUGAUAAGUUAGAUGUGAAAUCUGGGGGCUCAACCCUCAAACUGCAUUUAAAACUGUCACCCUUGAGUGAUGGAGAGGCAGGCGGAAUUCCUAGUGUAGCGGUGAAAUGCGUAGAUAUUAGGAGGAACACCAGUGGCGAAGGCGGCCUGCUGGACAUUAACUGACGCUGAGGCGCGAAAGCGUGGGGAGCAAAC